GGGGAUUUAGUUCAGUGGCAUAAGCGCCUGCCUUGUAAGCAGGCAGUUGUGAGUUCAAUCCCUG
RNAcentral lists this transfer RNA (64 nucleotides) under Cavia porcellus (domestic guinea pig). It matches the Rfam family "tRNA". From Rfam's summary of the family: Transfer RNA (tRNA) molecules are approximately 80 nucleotides in length. Their secondary structure includes four short double-helical elements and three loops (D, anti-codon, and T loops). The record is from Rfam by way of RNAcentral. Lineage: Eukaryota; Metazoa; Chordata; Mammalia; Rodentia; Caviidae.